GCGGCCGCUGCAACCAGAAGCAGAACUGCAAGGCCGGAAGCUCCACGUCCGCACCCGCCCCUUCCGUUUCGCUUCCGCCUACCUCGCCCAGGCUGCCAGACCGGAAGCGCUCCGCUCUACCUGGAUCCUGCUCCUCUGGGUUGAAACCCGGGCGCCGCCAAGAUGCCGGCUUACCACUCUUCUCUCAUGGAUCCUGAUACCAAACUCAUCGGAAACAUGGCACUGUUGCCUAUCAGAAGUCAAUUCAAAGGACCUGCCCCCAGAGAGAGUAAGUCUAAACCCAUUAUUUUCAAAUUUUGGUACAAAAUGCCUAACAAUCUUCUGAAAUGAUCAAAUCAGGAAAAUUCUUAGCUCAGUCUUCUCUCUCAAAUUGCCCUUGUACUUUGCUUGGUAGAUAUUGUGGUCUAGACCUUUCAAGAUAGUGGUUAUAUGUUGCAUUUAAUAGGAAAUUGUAUUAUUUCUUCUGACUUCUCUAGGAAACUCUUUUGAGAAAAUGGAGGAAAUGUGCUUAAUUCUGGACACUGUUUAUCAGUUCUUUCAAACAAAUCUAAUGCUGUUACGUCUAGAAUGCCACAUGCCCAUCCUUUCUGUCAUCAACCUGAAAAACAACAACAACAAAUAUUUUAACCUCUUCCUCGUCUAAAUCUACUUCCUUUAUUCAUUCUUCAAGAUCUUCAUUUUUAGCAAUACCUCAAUCUUAAAUCUGAAGUGUACUAUGUAACAUUACUUACGUCUAUUCCCGCUUUUCUGAAUUUUAUUUCAGAAAGCCGCAAUAUUUUUCAGACACUGUCUGAGACUCUUCUGAUGCUUUCUGAGAUGUUCUCCCAACAGUAUAAU
RNAcentral lists this small RNA (837 nucleotides) under Pan troglodytes (chimpanzee). RNAcentral's name for it is "retained intron". Lineage: Eukaryota; Metazoa; Chordata; Mammalia; Primates; Hominidae. The record is from RNAcentral.